UGUAAUGGCGGUUGUGCGUGGGAGACCUUCGGGUCUGCCGGCUUCUAGGGGUCCGGUCUGCUAACCCGCGUACAGUCGCCACCCUC
RNAcentral lists this non-coding RNA (86 nucleotides) under Pseudomonas sp. NFACC39-1. Lineage: Bacteria; Pseudomonadati; Pseudomonadota; Gammaproteobacteria; Pseudomonadales; Pseudomonadaceae. RNAcentral also lists the same sequence under 1 other name. The record is from RNAcentral.